UACAGAGGUGGCAAGCGUUGUUCGGAAUUACUGGGCGUAAAGGGCGCGUAGGCGGUUCGUUAAGUCCUGUGUGAAAUCCCCCGGCUCAACUGGGGAACUGCACAGGAAACUAGCGGGCUUGAGUUCGGGAGAGGGAAGCGGAAUUCCGGGUGUAGCGGUGAAAUGCGUAGAUAUCUGGAGGAACACCGGAGGCGAAAGCGGUCCACUGGGCAACUUCUGACGCUGAGGUGCGAAAGCUAGGGUAGCAAACGGG
This 253-nucleotide ribosomal RNA is filed under the name uncultured bacterium. Its description in RNAcentral is "partial 16S ribosomal RNA". It matches the Rfam family "Bacterial small subunit ribosomal RNA", at positions 524 to 776 of the family's 1533-position model. The record is from RNAcentral.